UCUAAAGUCCCGGAGAAUGCUUUCACGUGAUCACUCGACAAAUGUCCCGGAUAAAAAGCGCAGUCAACGGUUUUUCUGUGUAAAAGUUCAUGAUCACGGUGUUUCCACGUUUACGCGGUUGUGAAACUUAAGGUCACUGUGUUGUCUGCAGGAUGGUAAAAAAUACGUGAUGACUGCUAGGCUAGGAGAAGUGAAGAUGUUGUCAAUCUAAUUCCAAGCCAAAGUUUUCUAAUCAUCAUCACUACACAUGUUGAUGUAUGUUGAUAUUAGGUUGCUCUAAAGUGUGCACAAGACAAGGAUUGACAACACUGAUCAGAAUAGGAUGAUGUUGGCUUAUGGUGGUAUAUCUAGAAAGUAACCUGGCAGUGGAAUGAAACUAAAAGGCUCUUUUGUGCUUACACAUCACUAUGUUUUGAUUGUAUUUGGUGGUUGUCCUACUGUGCUAUAAGCCAGUCUUCAAACAGAUGCUAUAGCUGUUCCAAUCAACAAGAAAUAUGGAAGCAACUUGGAAGAGGAAUGCAAACGGUCCUUCAGACACAGUCACAUAAACACAGGAAUUGCGUCAUCACACCAAUGGCAGGUACAUAAAUAGUCCAGUUAACUAUCAUAGAAUGUUGCACUGACGUCAGACAAUAGUAGUGGUAGUGUAUAGAUGUAGGCAGUGUAGGAG
Long non-coding RNA from Corticium candelabrum, 670 nucleotides. RefSeq lists it as uncharacterized. NCBI's taxonomy places the organism in Eukaryota, Metazoa, Porifera, Homoscleromorpha, Homosclerophorida, Plakinidae. The transcript has 4 exons. The record is from RefSeq and is a predicted model, not a curated record.